CGAAGCAGAAGAACAACUUCCACAGGACCAGUAGGGACCCUCGUUUGGGACAUUUAAGCCCAAAUACGACUAAGGUCUGGAGGUAACACUAGUGAAACCCAUUGCACCACCCCUCAAACCUGCAGGCAGGAGUGAGCUGCAUGACGCUGCCCCUGCAUGUUUUCUGUAGCAAUUACCAUGAGCUAAAAACAAAGCCUAGGGUGGGAUUUGUUAGCACUGAACACCUCGGAUUGCAGCUCAUUCCAGCUGUAAUGGAGUGUUGAGCAGGGUUCAGCUCUGCAGGGGCUGAGCUGCUCGCAGGUGUAGCCUGCCUUGCAAACUAUUGGAAAUUGCACCCUGAAGACCGAGAAGGAGUAGGAAAGUGUUGGGAUCUGCUGGGAAGUGUUGCAAUGCUGCUAACAGUCAGUAUCAGCUCAAGGGCCCAAACAGCACCCUAAAACAGAGAAUAACCUUCCCAGAAGAAGAGUGCACGGGAGCGGGUGAGGACUCUGUAAAGGGAGCAAACACGACACAAAAGCCCUUCUGAGGAAUAUAAAUAUCUCCGUGAUGAUGAGCUGGUGAAAGGAGGGAAAGGCAGAACUCCCAAGGCAGAAAUCAACCUGCUGACAGAACCGUCUGGGGUGUCCUGUAACAUCUCUGCUAGCAGUUUCUUCAGGACAGCUUGGUACUUUUCCAGCUGCCUUGGGAUGAGGCACAUCCCAGCUCUGCCAGGAACUGCCCGCUGAGGGGGCGGAAGGCAGAAACAUUAGAAGGAAAAGCUGAGGAGAGCAGACAGAGGCAGGUUGUGGAGCUCAGACCCCGCUUUGGUCAAGUUGGAAGAGGGUCUGGGGCUGAUUUGAAGGGACAAGGAUGAUCCUCAUGUAGGGAGGAAAGCAACAUUUUGAAGUCAAUGCAGUCUUGUGCUGUUCAGAGGGCCAGAGUUUUCAUGCAUUGGAUCAGCUAUGGGCUGACUCGGAAACACAGAUGAAAGCUCCUCCUGGCCACAGAGACUGUAAAGAUGAAAAUCAUUGAUUAUGAUCCUCCACUAUCUCACACCCUGACCCUUCAAGCCCUCAGCUUCACUGGUGCUGGUGAAGCACCCUGCCUUAAUAAAGGCUGAGGAUGAAGCAUCAUCCUGCCUCCAGCCUGACUGACUUUGAGCCAGCUGUGGCUCAGAUGUGCCUGAAGUAAAUAGAGUUGUUCUGGAGGCACAGGAGGGCUUGUGGUUGCAGCAGGGAAGGGUGUGCACACUGGGAUGUGCCAAUUAUUUAAUGCUUUGAAGUGUGAAUCCUUGCUGUUUAAAUCCUAUUAUUGCUUCUUGGUGCACCAUGGCUGUAAUAGCUGCACAUUAACCUGCAAAGUCUUGGCCUGAUUCCAGUGUAGCUGGUUUGGGGUGGACCUCCACACUGCUGCUGGUGGAGAGCACUGCUGAGCUCCCUGCAGGAGGGGCUACAUGGGCAGGGCAAAGAACAACCUGGAUUCAGGUGGAAAAGCACAGUUUUCAGACUUGGCUAACCAGAUUUGUUCUUUAGCAAUAUCUCCAGGGACUUCAAGCCCAGCCCUUGAGCACUGUUAAAGACUCUCUCUGUUCUGCAAGCUUCAGCCCUCCAGCUCUUCUAGUUUAAGACCCACACACACACUCCCAUCAGUCCCACUGGCAGCGAGGGAGACAGAGUGAUGCUGCGAGAGAGACAGACCUGGAGACAGCUGUUUUGUUAAAUUUUAUCUUCAUAUUCCUCACCCCUGCAAACCCUCCUUGAUGGGCUGAAUCUUUUAAUAAGCCUCGCUGGGUCCAGGAGAGCUGGGAACUGCAUUUGCCAGCACAGCUCCAUAACAGCCUAGUAUAAAGUGCUUUAGAAAGUACCUUCUGAAGUGAUUUAACAGCAGCUUCACGUCAGAAGAGGACUUACAUAAACAUUAAAUGCUCUCUUUAAAUAUUAAAAUAUUCUCUCGGGAUGAA
Molecule: long non-coding RNA, 1939 nt
Organism: Pezoporus occidentalis (night parrot)
Lineage: Eukaryota; Metazoa; Chordata; Aves; Psittaciformes; Psittacidae
Exons: 2
Source: RefSeq, a predicted model, not a curated record